Molecule: long non-coding RNA, 338 nt
Organism: Prionailurus viverrinus (fishing cat)
Lineage: Eukaryota; Metazoa; Chordata; Mammalia; Carnivora; Felidae
Exons: 3
Source: RefSeq, a predicted model, not a curated record
GAAGCCAACAUACGAAGAUGCUGGGAAUUAUCACCGUGAAAUCUGAGACUGGAAUGUGCUUCGCAGAUACAAAAACAGGGACACGUUAAUAAAACACCGCGCCCCGAGGCCCCCAGGCCAGGCAGCCAGCCAAGAGCACCCUGUCCAGAGGGCUAAAAAUCAUAGGAGCUGAUACGUAUUGAAUCCUACCUAAGUGCCAGGUGCUGUCUUCUUGAAGCUGAAGAAUUUGUCUUCUCAACACGAUGGCCUUAUCAGCUGCUGGUUCCUCUCAGAGUACCUGUGCUGGGGCACACAGAGGGAGCUCAAGCCCUGAGAAGCUAAACGAUCUUCCGGGAAAG